RNAcentral lists this transfer-messenger RNA (391 nucleotides) under Chloroflexota bacterium. It matches the Rfam family "transfer-messenger RNA". From Rfam's summary of the family: Bacterial tmRNA, also known as 10Sa RNA or SsrA, is named for its dual tRNA and mRNA-like properties. Its role is to liberate the mRNA from a stalled ribosome. To accomplish this part of the tmRNA is used as a reading frame that ends in a translation stop signal. Lineage: Bacteria; Bacillati; Chloroflexota. The record is from RNAcentral.
GGGAGCGAAUCAGAUUCGACGUUGGUGGUUGAAGCCGCACGGCAAGCCGUGGCGCCAAGACACGUUAAACUGGCAACGCACAUAGGUGCAAAACCAAACUUUAACGCCCUUCCUGCCGUAGCCUAGGCUGCUGCAAGUAGGGUGUAGGGGCAACAAGUCCUCUACCGCUCCUGCAAAAUCGUCUCCCUUCGCGAUCUGCUGCGAGUGUCAUAAAAAGUGAGGGUGCCCGUCGUUGACGCCGAUAGGACGACGCCAAGACUCAUCGGCUAGCGCAGUGUGAACCGAGCCCUUUGGGAAUACACGGCGCGAAGUUGCGCAAAGGGCUAAGCUUGUAGAAGUGCGAGAUUCGAAACCAGCGGACCCGGGGGGCAGGUCCCCGGCGCUUCCAUCC